UACGAAGGGGGCUAGCGCUGCUCGGAAUCACUGGGCGUAAAGGGUGCGUAGGCGGGUCUUUAAGUCAGGGGUGAAAUCCUGGAGCUCAACUCCAGAACUGCCUUUGAUACUGAAGAUCUUGAGUUCGGGAGGGGUGAGUGGAACUGCGAGUGUAGAGGUGAAAUUCGUAGAUAUUCGCAAGAACACCAGUGGCGAAGGCGGCUCACUGGCCCGAUACUGACGCUGAGGCACGAAAGCGUGGGGAGCAAACAGG
This 253-nucleotide ribosomal RNA is filed under the name uncultured bacterium. Its description in RNAcentral is "partial 16S ribosomal RNA". It matches the Rfam family "Bacterial small subunit ribosomal RNA", at positions 524 to 776 of the family's 1533-position model. The record is from RNAcentral.